UUAGUAUACUAACCGAAAAACAAUAAACUGUUAGUAUAUUAAGAUACUCUCAGUAUUUGUAAGUAUACUGGCGAUAUGUAAAGGAAAUAAUAAGUAUACUAACAUAUAUUUUGAUAUACUGGUUAACAUAAUAAUUAUAGCUCUAAGAGUUUCCAACCCCUUGGGUUGAACUACUUUUUCAGCUGGAAAGUUCCGGACGGAGUGGGCGACCGACCGAAUCAAAGUGUCUUGUAUUCCAGAUUUCGGUCUUCGUAGCGGUAUAGGAGGAAGAGGAGGAGGAGGAGGACGGGAAAUAUGGUUUACUCGGCGGGCCAUUCCAGUAGACGGGACGGGAAGGAACCAGUUUGCGAUCGAGGAAGCGGUUGGCAACAAACAUAUUCCAAUCUGAUCCUGCCGGAAACCAUGCGUCCCCGUGUGGUCCCGCGUGGCUUUCGUAGAACUUACGGAAGCAGCCACGUUUUCUCGUACUCAUACUCCACAAACCCACGUUGUCUCGUACUCCGGUAAACAUCAAUCCGUCGGAGAUCCAAGAUUGGCGUCGCAUCCGGGUUUCGAUCAGCUCGUCGAGGAGCAAAAGUCCAACACGACCAAGAUGCUGCCACGGCCGCCUCAGAAGAACACCAACAUCCAAGCCGGAAGCUGCGGUCAAGGCAAAUCCCGAAGAAAGCCAAGUUGGAGAAGAAUCGGCGAUUCGCAAGUGAAAUUAGGUGAACAAGUGAAUAUUUUUGUAAAAUUUUUACAGAUUGAAUAAAAAAAACAACAAAAA
Long non-coding RNA from Culex pipiens pallens (northern house mosquito), 766 nucleotides. RefSeq lists it as uncharacterized. The transcript is spliced from 2 exons. NCBI's taxonomy places the organism in Eukaryota, Metazoa, Arthropoda, Insecta, Diptera, Culicidae. The record is from RefSeq and is a predicted model, not a curated record.